Molecule: ribosomal RNA, 562 nt
Filed under: Bipolaris oryzae
Lineage: Eukaryota; Fungi; Ascomycota; Dothideomycetes; Pleosporales; Pleosporaceae
Description: eukaryotic LSU rRNA
Rfam family: 5.8S ribosomal RNA (bases 190-343)
Source: RNAcentral
GCGGAGGGAUCAUUACACAACAAAAUAUGAAGGCCUGGCUUUCGCGGCCGGCUGAAGUAUUUUUUUCACCCAUGUCUUUUGCGCACUUGUUGUUUCCUGGGCGGGUUCGCCCGCCACCAGGACCAAACCAUAAACCUUUUUUUCUUAUGCAGUUUCCAUCAGCGUCAGUAAAAACAAUGUAAUUAUUACAACUUUCAACAACGGAUCUCUUGGUUCUGGCAUCGAUGAAGAACGCAGCGAAAUGCGAUACGUAGUGUGAAUUGCAGAAUUCAGUGAAUCAUCGAAUCUUUGAACGCACAUUGCGCCCUUUGGUAUUCCAAAGGGCAUGCCUGUUCGAGCGUCAUUUGUACCUUCAAGCUUUGCUUGGUGUUGGGCGUUUUUUUGUCUCCCUCUUUCUGGGAGACUCGCCUUAAAACGAUUGGCAGCCGGCCUACUGGUUUCGGAGCGCAGCACAUUUUUUGCGCUUUGUAUCAGGAGAAAAGGACGGUACUCCAUCAAGACUCUACAUUUUUCACUUUUGACCUCGGAUCAGGUAGGGAUACCCGCUGAACUUAAGCAUAUC